GACGAACGCUGGCGGCGCGCCUAACACAUGCAAGUCGAACGGAGCUUAGAGAGCUUGCUUUUUAAGCUUAGUGGCGAACGGGUGAGUAACGCGUGAGUAACCUGCCCUAGAGUGGGGGACAGCAGUUGGAAACGACUGCUAAUACCGCAUAAGCCCACGGUACCGCAUGGCACUGAGGGAAAAGGAUUUAUUCGCUUUAGGAUGGACUCGCGUCCAAUUAGCUAGUUGGUGAGGUAACGGCCCACCAAGGCGACGAUUGGUAGCCGGACUGAGAGGUUGAACGGCCACAUUGGGACUGAGACACGGCCCAGACUCCUACGGGAGGCAGCAGUGGGGGAUAUUGCACAAUGGGGGAAACCCUGAUGCAGCGACGCCGCGUGGAGGAAGAAGGUUUUCGGAUUGUAAACUCCUGUCGUUAGGGACGAUAA
Molecule: ribosomal RNA, 428 nt
Filed under: uncultured bacterium
Lineage: Bacteria
Description: bacterial SSU rRNA
Rfam family: Bacterial small subunit ribosomal RNA
Source: RNAcentral